GAUGAACGCUGGCGGCGUGCUUAACACAUGCAAGUCGAACGGAAAGGCCCAAGCUUGCUUGGGUACUCGAGUGGCGAACGGGUGAGUAACACGUGGGAGAUCUGCCCUGCACUUCGGGAUAAGCCUGGGAAACUGGGUCUAAUACCGGAUAGGACCACUUCUUGGAUGUUGUGGUGGAAAGUUUUUUCGGUGUGGGAUGAGCUCGCGGCCUAUCAGCUUGUUGGUGGGGUAAUGGCCUACCAAGGCGUCGACGGGUAGCCGGCCUGAGAGGGUGUACGGCCACAUUGGGACUGAGAUACGGCCCAGACUCCUACGGGAGGCAGCAGUGGGGAAUAUUGCACAAUGGACGCAAGCCUGAUGCAGCGACGCCGCGUGGGGGAUGACGGCCUUCGGGUUGUAAACUCCUUUCGCUAGGGACGAAGCGUUUUGUGACGGUACCUGGAGAAGAAGCACCGGCUAACUACGCG
RNAcentral lists this ribosomal RNA (467 nucleotides) under uncultured bacterium. Its description in RNAcentral is "partial 16S ribosomal RNA". It matches the Rfam family "Bacterial small subunit ribosomal RNA", at positions 28 to 507 of the family's 1533-position model. The record is from RNAcentral.